UCGGGAGUGACGCAGGGACCGCCACCUA
This 28-nucleotide small RNA is filed under the name Bombyx mori (domestic silkworm). RNAcentral describes it as "ovarian small RNA-28993". Lineage: Eukaryota; Metazoa; Arthropoda; Insecta; Lepidoptera; Bombycidae. The record is from RNAcentral.